Cygnus olor (mute swan) is the source of this 2409-nucleotide long non-coding RNA. RefSeq lists it as uncharacterized. The record is from RefSeq and is a predicted model, not a curated record. The transcript has 8 exons. NCBI's taxonomy places the organism in Eukaryota, Metazoa, Chordata, Aves, Anseriformes, Anatidae.
CCACUAAAAAGAUUACAGAAUUCCUUAUGCACAAACUGUGCUGUCAUUACAACUUUGUUUUCUCCAAGAAACUGUUCCCUUGUAAUGCUCAGCUAAGUAGAAUGGUUCCUUGCUGCCCUGUUUCUGCAUGCUUUAGUGAAUAUAUGCUUUAGUAUUCUGCUCAUUUUGGUUUCUACUAGAAUAAAUGCCAUGCUUUCUUCAGUGUGGCCCUUCUGGGUGGGAAGUUCCAUAUGGAUGCUCUCUGAGCCAAUUCAUUGUCCUCGAUUUAAACAAUUCCUAAAAUUUCUUGGUGCUAUAAUUGUGAGCAGCUCAGUAAAAUCAGCUGUGGUCUUGUGACUAGUAUCCUGUUGUUUAAUACUGGACAGGUAAAUGGCGAUAUGUUCCCUUGCUUGUGCUCCCAAGCUGGUUCCUUUGUACAGUACUGGGAAGAGGCUACACAAGUGCUACAUAAUCCUAGCAACCAGAAUCCUUACCAGAAGAAUUGUGGAUACUUGGCAUUCGCGUACAAGAUGUGUGUAGCAGACUCAAAGACAUUUACAAAGAAACUUCACAGCUACGUGAUAUGCACUACCCAUGUUCUGGUAGAAAAAAAAUGUGUUGUUUCUGUGCUUCAGUUGACGAGCUGAUGGCUGCAUUCAAAAGUGCAAGACUUUUUGCUACUAGCAUGCCCAAAUAAAUGCAGAGGCACUUCACAUGUUGUGAAACUUCAGAAAUAUCUUACAUCAGCCACAGUUAAUAUGAAAUGGGAUCACAGCUGAAUCUCUUCUAACCUUUGGAAAAUACUUUUCCAAAACAACUGCUUCAAAACAAUUGCAGUCUGACAGGUGCUGGAAAAAAAAAAAAAAAAGGUAAAAGGUAUUAAUAUCUUACAAAAUAAAGAUGAAUAAAGAAUUGGGACUACUGCAAACUGGGAUGAAUUUGCUGCAAGAUGGAAAUGUCAUAAGGAAAAAGAAAACUGGAAAGCUUGUUUGAAAUCCAAAGAAGAUCAGAAUGUGUGGGUGACCAGGAUUCAGAGUCUUCAGAUAAUACAGCCAGAAGCAUUGUUUGCUCAGGACAGCACUUCUGACCACAUAUCUCCAAAGUACUCUGAAGCUUGUUAUUUACUCCAACCAUAUUGAAAAGACCACAACACAUCAUGCUUCCAAAGGAUGAGUCAUUAUUUCUCCUUCUACAUUUUCAUGGAAGUCAAGAAGUUGACUCCUUCCCAAAUGUGUUUUAUAACAUCAAAGGAACCGAGAGGGCAUUUCUCACUCCAUUUCCUCCAGCAAUAAUCUACCACUGGAUUGUAGACGUAUGUGAACUAUAACAUAGGGAGAAAAUGAAAGAUACAACAGUACUUCAUGACACAUCCUUACAUUUGUCCUUCACCACUACUUUGAGAUAAAUAUGCCUGCAUUUUCUAUGCAUUUGCAAAUACAUAAAAGGUGCAUCAUUUAUGGGGGCAUUGCCCUUAGCACAGAAGACCCAGGGACCUGGAGAACAUCCUUCAGUUUGGAGAUUUUCCAUGUCGCCGGCAAAGCUAUUGUGUGGAGGGCAGGAAACCACUGGGAUAAGAGAGUUUGCAAGCCCUAAAGAUUUUGUUCUGGGAUGCAACUCAGCUUUUAGCUGGCAUAGGUCUCAGCCAUUUCUUUGCUAUUACUCCAAAAAAUAAGUUGAACCGGUAACUUAGGUCACCAGCACCAAGCAGAAACAUGGACAAAAAUUUCAAACAGCCCAAAAAACCUUUGCACAUUUAAUGAAAGUAGAGAACAGAAAGAUUUGAUGCAAGGCAUACUGAUGCAGGAUGUUACACUGAUGUAAUUUCCAUCUCUUGGAAAGGUUAAAAAGAAGAAAUAAUAAAAUGUUGUAACCAAGCCUAUUGCUGAGAUCUGUACCUAAGGAAUACUGACUCAGUGCUACUAACUCAGACAAAAGGUGGGGGUUCUUACAUCUACGGUAACAGUAAUAAGGUGAAGUUGUACUUCUCAACGAUGUUCCAGUCCAAACACAAACAGUGAAUCGAUAUUGAAGGCUGCUGUUUCCCACUGGAAAAGUCCACAGCAGGAGAAGUUAGAGAAUGAGUUGUUUUGUCCACUUAGAUUUUUAACACAUAUACCAUGGGAGUGUGUUGCUUCUCUGCUUUUUACCCAAGCAUUGCUAGCUUUUUACCCAAGCUUUUGGACUUCUGUCUGUUCAAGUUUGCUUGUAUGGAUACCUCAGAUGCUGCUGUGAGAUGACUACUACUGAGAAUCUAAAAGGAGUUUGGAUACUAAAGGGAGCUUGGACUAUAAAAUACAUUUCCAUAUCUGGAAUAGCAUUCACAUCCAAACUUUCUUUCAACAGAGGCACAGCAUGAAACUUGGGUCUGAUGUGAGUCCUUAUGUAUCUGUGUAUUUAGGUCCAAUGAAAUGAUUAAAGUUUAAUGUUACA